Molecule: ribosomal RNA, 253 nt
Filed under: uncultured bacterium
Lineage: Bacteria
Description: partial 16S ribosomal RNA
Rfam family: Bacterial small subunit ribosomal RNA
Source: RNAcentral
UACAGAGGUCUCGAGCGUUAGGCGGAAUCACUGGGCUUAAAGCGUGUGUAGGCGGAUCGGUAAGUACCUUGUGAAAUCCCACAGCUUAACCGUGGAACUGCUUGGUAUACUGCCGGUCUUGAGCCAGCUAGGGGCUACCGGAACAAAUGGUGGAGCGGUGAAAUGCGUAGAUAUCAUUUGGAACGCCAAUGGUGAAAACAGGUAGCUGGGGCUGUGCUGACGCUGAGACACGAAAGCCAGGGGAGCAAACGGG